This 520-nucleotide ribosomal RNA is filed under the name uncultured Glomus. Its description in RNAcentral is "SSU rRNA". It matches the Rfam family "Eukaryotic small subunit ribosomal RNA", at positions 569 to 1091 of the family's 1831-position model. Lineage: Eukaryota; Fungi; Glomeromycota; Glomeromycetes; Glomerales; Glomeraceae. The record is from RNAcentral.
AGCAGCCGCGGUAAUUCCAGCUCCAAUAGCGUAUAUUAAAGUUGUUGCAGUUAAAAAGCUCGUAGUUGAAUUUCGGGGUCAGUAAGUUGGUCGUGCCACUGGUAUGUACUGACUUUACUGAUUCCUCCUUCUUGUAGAACCGUAAUGCCAUUAAGUUGGUGUUGCGGGGAAACAGGACUGUUACUUUGAAAAAAUUAGAGUGUUUAAAGCAAGCUAACGCUUGAAUACAUUAGCAUGGAAUAAUGAAAUAGGACGCUCGAUCCUAUUUUGUUGGUUUCUAGGAUUGACGUAAUGAUUAAUAGGGAUAGUUGGGGGCAUUAGUAUUCAAUUGUCAGAGGUGAAAUUCUUGGAUUUAUUGAAGACUAACUACUGCGAAAGCAUUUGCCAAGGAUGUUUUCAUUAAUCAAGAACGAAAGUUAGGGGAUCGAAGACGAUCAGAUACCGUCGUAGUCUUAACCAUAAACUAUGCCGACUAGGGAUCGGAUGAUGUUAAUUUUUAAUGACUCAUUCGGCGCCUUAC